GACUCCCAAGACUGUUAGAUAGGGAGUCAGUGGUCAGAGUCUCACUUUGGACACAUUAGUUCGUUGGCUGCUGUUAAAAAACAUUAAAAGGCAGUGGUCUCUCCUGGUCAGGCUUAGAAUGGAGGUGUGUGGAGCAAGGCGGGAAACUUGCCUGACUGAGCAGGGAGGCACUCAGACACCAUCACACAUCUGGCACACAGGCUUUUCAACACUGAGGAGCAGCCCUGCCUAAGCUGCGGGCUGGUGGAGUGGGUCAGGCCCAGCCAGGGAAGAACACUCAUCACCUAGCAGCCUGGGGCAUAGCACGAACGGUGAAGCUCCUGGUCGACCCUGAACCACUGGCCAGGCUCAAGGCGGGAUACCCAGAGUGGUAACAAGCCUUUUCUCUUGCAGAGUUAUUCCCAGAACCUGUGUCUUUUGGCCAAGUGUUUCCUUGACCAUAAGACACUGUACUAUGACACAGACCCUUUCCUCUUCUACGUCAUGACAGAGUAUGACUGUAAGGGCUUCCACAUCGUGGGCUACUUCUCCAAGGAGAAAGAAUCGACGGAAGACUACAAUGUGGCCUGCAUCCUAACCCUGCCUCCCUACCAGCGCCGGGGCUACGGCAAGCUGCUGAUCGAGUUCAGUGAGUAUGUGUGCUGCGGCCAGGGGGUAGUGGACCCACCAUCGGUGCCUCACAGGCAGAUGGGCC
Molecule: small RNA, 694 nt
Filed under: Pan troglodytes (chimpanzee)
Lineage: Eukaryota; Metazoa; Chordata; Mammalia; Primates; Hominidae
Description: retained intron
Source: RNAcentral